UCCCGGUUGGUGUAGAGGCAGCACAGCGGCCUUUGAAGCCGACAGCCCAGGUUCGACCCCUGGACCGGGAU
RNAcentral lists this transfer RNA (71 nucleotides) under Actinophytocola oryzae. It matches the Rfam family "tRNA". From Rfam's summary of the family: Transfer RNA (tRNA) molecules are approximately 80 nucleotides in length. Their secondary structure includes four short double-helical elements and three loops (D, anti-codon, and T loops). The record is from Rfam by way of RNAcentral. Lineage: Bacteria; Bacillati; Actinomycetota; Actinomycetes; Pseudonocardiales; Pseudonocardiaceae.